This 253-nucleotide ribosomal RNA is filed under the name uncultured bacterium. RNAcentral's name for it is "partial 16S ribosomal RNA". It matches the Rfam family "Bacterial small subunit ribosomal RNA", at positions 524 to 776 of the family's 1533-position model. The record is from RNAcentral.
GACGAACCGUGCGAACGUUGUUCGGAAUCACUGGGCUUAAAGGGCGCGUAGGCGGGCUGACAAGUCUGGGGUGAAAUACCACGGCUCAACCGUGGAACUGCCUCAGAUACUGUCGGCCUCGAGGGAGGUAGGGGCGUGCGGAACUGUAGGUGGAGCGGUGAAAUGCGUUGAUAUCUACAGGAACUCCGGUGGCGAAAGCGGCGCGCUGGACCUCUUCUGGCGCUGAGGCGCGAAAGCUAGGGGAGCAAACGGG